AGCAGCAGCAGCAGCAGCAACACCCGCAUCCGCUGCGGGAGUAGGAGCCGGAACCACACCCACGUAGCUGCCCUUUCCUCUUCUGUCAUUUCCCCGCCCCACCACAGACCGCGUUCCCCGAGGAAACCGGCCGCCCACGCCCGGAGCAUCCUCCCCUGUUGAGCGGGCGCUGACGGACCCGGCGGCAUGAUGCGGCUGCGAGGCUCGGCGAUGCUGCGGGACCUGCUCCUGCGGUCGCCCGCCGGCGUGAGCGCGACUCUGCGGCGGGCACAGCCCCUGGUCACCCUGUGCCGGCGUCCCCGAGGCGGGGGACGGCCGGCAGCGGGCCCGGCUGCCGCCGCGCGACUCCACCCGUGGUGGGGCGGGGGCGGCUGGCCGGCGGAGCCCCUCGCGCGGGGCCUGUCCAGCUCUCCUUCGGAGAUCUUGCAGGAACUGGGCAAGGGAAGCACGCAUCCGCAGCCCGGGGUGUCGCCACCCGCUGCCCCGGCGGCGCCCGGCCCCAAGGACGGCCCCGGGGAGACGGACGCGUUUGGCAACAGCGAGGGCAAAGAGCUGGUGGCCUCAGGUGAAAAUAAAAUAAAACAGGGUCUGUUACCUAGCUUGGAAGAUUUGCUGUUCUAUACAAUUGCGGAAGGACAAGAGAAAAUACCUGUUCAUAAAUUUAUUACAGUAAGUUUUUAUAUUUUUCUAUCUUAACUUACAAAAUCAGUAAUAAUAAAUAUAUACAGUAUUAUUGAAAUAUAGUCUUAAAGGUCGUCUGACAUGUAGAUUCUGACUGACACUAUUUCUCCUAUUAUGUUUUCAAAUUUUUAUCAUGCUCAUUUCAAGGUAAUCAGUGAAAGAAAAAGAAAGAAACAAUGAGAAACUUGUCCAGAAAGUGGGUAAUAGUGACACUAAGAUGCUAUAUUCAUGUUCAAGUGUUGGGUAGAAGUUUUUAUAUACAGGAAUAAAAUCUUAUAGUUGGUAUAAGCAUAUACAUUUUUUGCACUAUAUAUUUACAAACUCUUAUUUUUUUAAAAACAGGCACUCAAAUCUACAGGAUUGCGAACGUCUGAUCCCAGGUUGAAAGAGUGUAUGGAUAUGUUAAGAUUAACUCUUCAAACAACGUCAGAUGGUGUCAUGCUAGACAAAGAUCUUUUUAAAAAGUAAAAGUUUCUGCCAAACCUUUAAUGGUGAUUUGCUAUGCUAUACGGUGAUUCUGCUUUUAAAACAAAAUUGCAUCUUUGAAGGCCACUGCUUCCUGUGUAAUGGAAAAAGGGGAUUUAUAAACAUCAUUUGUUUGAAGAACUUGGUACACAUUAGGUUCUGUAAUACACCGGGCUAAGAGUAUUCUUUCUUUAAAUCUGUUCUAAGCAAAUUUAGCCACCGAUGUUUCCAGUUUACAGUACUUGGAGACUGCAUUCAGUUUGAGUAGAGCACAUCCUUUGUCCUGUCAUUGCUUAUAUUGAUCCCCAAUUCAUCUGCAUGACUUGCACGCUUUCUCAGCAUGGUCUCUAGUUCUUUUCCACAAGGUGAUUUAGGUGACAUCAUAAAAUGAGAGGGCUUCAGACAGACCUGUGUUCCUCACAUUUACAUACCUGCAUUGUCUGCUCCUCUCCUCUCUUCAGACAUAUUAAUACAUAGGCUUUUGGCUAUUUUCAUUUUCUUCAAAACAGUAAAGAACUAAAGGCAACUUUGGAGAUUAAAGCGUUGAUUUGGUUGAAUGAGAAUUUUUACUUUGAUGUUCCUGUAUUUGUAUAUAUUUAUUAUUUAUCUUCAUUAAUGUGUUUCUAUUAGUUUGAUUACUUAAAGAUUUAAUGGACAUGUGUGUAAUGGAUCCCAAAGAAUCAAAUAGUAUUUUGAACUACUACUAUUUAAGUAGAAACUAGUAUAAAACUGUAAAUACUGCUAUAAGACAUUGGUUUUUUCCAGACAUGGAUCCAAAAAAUUUCUGCAUCUACUUUGAAAGUUUGUUAUGUAUGGGUGUAUUUACUUUUGUUUUAUCUUCU
Molecule: small RNA, 1988 nt
Filed under: Pongo abelii (Sumatran orangutan)
Lineage: Eukaryota; Metazoa; Chordata; Mammalia; Primates; Hominidae
Description: retained intron
Source: RNAcentral